Molecule: ribosomal RNA, 253 nt
Filed under: uncultured bacterium
Lineage: Bacteria
Description: partial 16S ribosomal RNA
Rfam family: Bacterial small subunit ribosomal RNA
Source: RNAcentral
UACAGAGGGUGCGAGCGUUGUCCGGAAUCACUGGGCGUAAAGGGCGCGUAGGCGGCCUGCUAAGUAGAGGGUGAAAUCCUGCGGCUCAACCGCAGGGCUGCCUUCUAAACUGUCAGGCUGGAGCACGGUAGAGGCAGAUGGCAUUCCCGGUGUAGCGGUGGAAUGCGUAGAGAUCGGGAAGAACACCAGUGGCGAAGGCGGUCUGCUGGGCCGUUGCUGACGCUGAGGCGCGACAGCGUGGGGAGCAAACAGG